This is a non-coding RNA of Phrynosoma platyrhinos (Desert horned lizard), 71 nucleotides long. Lineage: Eukaryota; Metazoa; Chordata; Lepidosauria; Squamata; Phrynosomatidae. The record is from the annotation of a GenBank genome assembly.
GCCAGCAUGGUUUAGUGGUUUGAGCAUUAGACUAUGACUCUGGAGAUUAGGGUUUGAAUCCCUGAUUGGCC